This 427-nucleotide ribosomal RNA is filed under the name uncultured prokaryote. RNAcentral's name for it is "bacterial SSU rRNA". It matches the Rfam family "Bacterial small subunit ribosomal RNA", at positions 355 to 774 of the family's 1533-position model. The record is from RNAcentral.
UAGGGAAUCUUCGGCAAUGGGCGAAAGCCUGACCGAUCAACGCCGCGUGAAUGAUGAAGGCCUUCGGGUUGUAAAAUUCUGUUAUAAGGGAAGAACGACUUUAGUAGGAAAUGGCUAGAGUGUGACGGUACCUUAUGAGAAAGCCACGGCUAACUACGUGCCAGCAGCCGCGGUAAUACGUAGGUGGCGAGCGUUAUCCGGAAUUAUUGGGCGUAAAGAGCGCGCAGGUGGUUGAUUAAGUCUGAUGUGAAAGCCCACGGCUUAACCGUGGAGGGUCAUUGGAAACUGGUCGACUUGAGUGCAGAAGAGGAAAGCGGAAUUCCUAGUGUAGCGGUGAAAUGCGUAGAUAUUAGGAGGAACACCAGUGGCGAAGGCGGCUUUCUGGACUGUAACUGACACUGAGGCACGAAAGCGUGGGGAGCAAACA